UGGGGAAUAUUGCACAAUGGGCGCAAGCCUGAUGCAGCCAUGCCGCGUGUAUGAAGAAGGCCUUCGGGUUGUAAAGUACUUUCAGCGGGGCGGAAGGGAGUAAAGUUAAUACCUUUGCUCAUUGACGUUACCCGCAGAAGAAGCACCGGCUAACUCCGUGCCAGCAGCCGCGGUAAUACGGAGGGUGCAAGCGUCAAUCGGAAUUACUGGGCGUAAAGCGCACGCAGGCGGUUUGUUAAGUCAGAUGUGAAAUCCCCGGGCUCAACCUGGGAACUGCAUCUGAUACUGGCAAGCUUGAGUCUCGUAGAGGGGGGUAGAAUUCCAGGGGUAGCGGUGAAAUGCGUAGAGAUCUGGGGGAAUACCGGUGGUGAAGGCGGCCCCCUGGGCGAAGACUGACGCACAGGUGCGAAAGCGUGGGGAGCAAACAGG
Molecule: ribosomal RNA, 429 nt
Filed under: Chloroflexota bacterium
Lineage: Bacteria; Bacillati; Chloroflexota
Description: Chloroflexi bacterium partial 16S ribosomal RNA
Rfam family: Bacterial small subunit ribosomal RNA
Source: RNAcentral